GUGCUCACUUCAACAGUACAUAUACUAAAAUUGGAAUGAAACAGAAUAGUGUGUGGCCCCUGCAUAAGGAUGACAUGCAAAUUUGUGAAGCAGUUCAUAUUUUU
This 104-nucleotide small nuclear RNA is filed under the name Castor canadensis (American beaver). The record is from RNAcentral. Lineage: Eukaryota; Metazoa; Chordata; Mammalia; Rodentia; Castoridae.